AGAUUUUUUUUUAGGUGGGAGGGAGGCGAAAAAAAAAUCCUGUUCAGCCAUUAAAGUUCAAAUUAUCUUAUUUGACAAAAUGUGAGAAUUCAGGGUUAUGGAAAUUUCAUCCAUUUUAGUGUGGAGAAGUAUAAGUUUUUUGGUCCUUUAUUAAUGGGGGCCAUUUACCCAUACAGGGUGCCAGGCCCGUAUAACGUUAAUGAUUACUAGAUGGUGUUUCCAAAGAGUCGUGUUGCUUGAUAGUGCAGCACUAAGUGGGUGGUAAACUCCAUCUAAAACUAAAUAUAACCAUGAGACCGAUAGUAAACAAGUACCGUGAGGGAAAGUUGAAAAGAACUCUGAAUAGAGAGUUAAAUAGUACGUGAAACUGCUUAGAGGUUAAGCCCGAUGAACCUGAAUAUCCGUUAUGGAAAAUUCAUCAUUAGAAUUGUAAUAUUUUAAACAAUAUUAUAAUAAUAGUGUGCAUUUUUUCCAUAUAAGGACAUUGUAAUCUAUUAGCAUAAAUAUUUAUCAUAAAAUUAUGUCUGAUUGCUUAUUUGAAUUAUAUGCUUGGCAUUUUAACAUAAAAUAAAAGAUAUAAAUUUGAUAAAGUGCUGAUAGAUUUAUAUGAUUACAGUGCGUUAAUUUUUCGGAAUUAUAUAAUGGCAUAAUUAUCAUUGAUAUUUGUGUUUAUUAUAUGCAUUUGUAUGAUUAACAAUGCGAAAGAUUCAGGAUACCUUCGGGACCCGUCUUGAAACACAGACCAAGGAGUCUAACAUAUGUGCAAGUUAUUGGGAUAUAAACCUAAUAGCGUAAUUAACUUGACUAUUAAUGGGAUUAGUUUUUUAACUAUUUAUAGUUAAUUAACGCAAUCCCGGGGCGCUCUAUAUAGUUAUGUAUAAUAAUAUUUAUAUUAUUUAUGCCUCUAACUGGAACGUACCUUGAGCAUAUAUGCUGUGACCCGAAAGAUGGUGAACUAUACUUGAUCAGGUUGAAGUCAGGGGAAACCCUGAUGGAAGACCGAAACAGUUCUGACGUGCAAAUCGAUUGUCAGAAUUGAGUAUAGGGGCGAAAGACCAAUCGAACCAUCUAGUAGCUGGUUCCUUCCGAAGUUUCCCUCACGAUAGCUGGUGCAUUUAACUGUUGUAUAAAAUAAUCUUAUCUGGUAAAGCGAAUGAUUAGAGGCCUUAGGGUCGAAACGAUCUUAACCUAUUCUCAAACUUUAAAUGGGUAAGAACCUUAACUUUCUUGAUAUGAAGUUUAAGGUUAUGAUAUAAUAUGCCCAGUGGGCCACUUUUUGUAAGCAGAACUGGCGCUGUGGGAUGAACCAAAUGUAAUGUUACGGUGCCCAAAUUAACAACUCAAACAGAAACCAUGAAAGGCGUCGGUUGCUUAAAACAGCAGGACGGUGAUCAUGGUAGUCGAAAUUAGUUAAGGAGUGUGAACAAGUCACCUACCGAAACAAUUAGCCUGUGGAUCUCCCGGUACCGAGCUCGAAUCGCC
RNAcentral lists this non-coding RNA (1482 nucleotides) under Drosophila virilis. Its description in RNAcentral is "Eukaryotic large subunit ribosomal RNA". It matches the Rfam family "Eukaryotic large subunit ribosomal RNA", at positions 1 to 1353 of the family's 3401-position model. The record is from Rfam by way of RNAcentral. Lineage: Eukaryota; Metazoa; Arthropoda; Insecta; Diptera; Drosophilidae.